This 468-nucleotide ribosomal RNA is filed under the name uncultured bacterium. RNAcentral's name for it is "partial 16S ribosomal RNA". It matches the Rfam family "Bacterial small subunit ribosomal RNA", at positions 28 to 507 of the family's 1533-position model. The record is from RNAcentral.
GACGAACGUUGGCGGCGUGCUUAACACAUGCAAGUCGAACGGAAAGGCCCUACUUUUGUGGGGUGCUCGAGUGGCGAACGGGUGAGUAACACGUGAGUAACCUGCCCUUGACUUUGGGAUAACUUCAGGAAACUGGGGCUAAUACCGGAUAGGAGCUCCUGCUGCAUGGUGGGGGUUGGAAAGUUUCGGCGGUUGGGGAUGGACUCGCGGCUUAUCAGCUUGUUGGUGGGGUAGUGGCUUACCAAGGCUUUGACGGGUAGCCGGCCUGAGAGGGUGACCGGCCACAUUGGGACUGAGAUACGGCCCAGACUCCUACGGGAGGCAGCAGUGGGGAAUAUUGCACAAUGGGCGGAAGCCUGAUGCAGCAACGCCGCGUGCGGGAUGACGGCCUUCGGGUUGUAAACCGCUUUCGCCUGUGACGAAGCGUGAGUGACGGUAAUGGGUAAAGAAGCACCGGCUAACUACGUG